GAUGAACGCUGGCGGCGUGCCUAAUACAUGCAAGUCGAGCGAACGGACGAGAAGCUUGCUUUUCUGAUGUUAGCGGCGGACGGGUGAGUAACACGUGGUUAACCUCCCUAUAAGCCUGGGUUAACUUCGGAAAACCGGACCUAAUACCGGAUAAUAUUUUGAACCGCAUGGUUCAAUAUUGAAAGACGGUUUUGCUAUCACUUUUAAAUGGAUCCGCGCCGCAUUAGCUAGUUGGUAAGGUAACGGCUUACCAAGGCAACGAUGCGUAGCCGACCUGAGAGGGUGAUCGGCCACACUGGAACUGAGACACGGUCCAGACUCCUACGGGAGGCAGCAGUAGGGAAUCUUCCGCAAUGGGCGAAAGCCUGACGGAGCAACGCCGCGUGAGUGAUGAAGGUCUUCGGAUCGUAAAACUCUGUUAUUAGGGAAGAACAAAUGUGUAAGUAACUAUGCACGUCUUGACGGUACCUAAUCAGAAAGCCACGGCUAACUACGUG
Molecule: ribosomal RNA, 497 nt
Filed under: uncultured bacterium
Lineage: Bacteria
Description: partial 16S ribosomal RNA
Rfam family: Bacterial small subunit ribosomal RNA
Source: RNAcentral